This 411-nucleotide ribosomal RNA is filed under the name bacterium enrichment culture clone ALO1_GLFRUDD03HJ2AT. Its description in RNAcentral is "bacterial SSU rRNA". It matches the Rfam family "Bacterial small subunit ribosomal RNA", at positions 9 to 420 of the family's 1533-position model. The record is from RNAcentral.
GAGUUUGAUCCUGGCUCAGAUUGAACGCUGGCGGCAUGCCUUACACAUGCAAGUCGAACGGCAGCACGGGAGCUUGCUCCUGGUGGCGAGUGGCGAACGGGUGAGUAAUGCAUCGGAACGUAUCCUGGAGUGGGGGAUAACGUAGCGAAAGUUACGCUAAUACCGCAUAUUCUGUGAGCGGGAAAGCGGGGGACCUUCGGGCCUCGCGCUCUUGGAGCGGCCGAUGUCGGAUUAGCUAGUUGGUGAGGUAAAGGCUCACCAAGGCGACGAUCCGUAGCAGGUCUGAGAGGAUGAUCUGCCACACUGGAACUGAGACACGGUCCAGACUCCUACGGGAGGCAGCAGUGGGGAAUUUUGGACAAUGGGGGCAACCCUGAUCCAGCCAUGCCGCGUGAGUGAAGAAGGCCUCGG